RNAcentral lists this ribosomal RNA (492 nucleotides) under uncultured bacterium. RNAcentral describes it as "partial 16S ribosomal RNA". It matches the Rfam family "Bacterial small subunit ribosomal RNA", at positions 29 to 507 of the family's 1533-position model. The record is from RNAcentral.
AGUGAACGCUGGCGGUAGGCCUAACACAUGCAAGUCGAACGGCAGCACAGUAAGAGCUUGCUCUUACGGGUGGCGAGUGGCGGACGGGUGAGGAAUACAUCGGAAUCUACUUUUUCGUGGGGGAUAACGUAGGGAAACUUACGCUAAUACCGCAUACGACCUACGGGUGAAAGCAGGGGAUCUUCGGUCCUUGCGCGAUUGAAUGAGCCGAUGUCGGAUUAGCUAGUUGGCGGGGUAAAGGCCCACCAAGGCGACGAUCCGUAGCUGAUCUGAGAGGAUGAUCAGCCACACUGGAACUGAGACACGGUCCAGACUCCUACGGGAGGCAGCAGUGGGGAAUAUUGGACAAAGGGCGCAAGCCUGAUCCAGCCAUACCGCGUGGGUGAAGAAGGCCUUCGGGUUGUAAAGCCCUUUUGUUGGGAAAGAAAAGCAGCAGGUUAAUACCCCGCUGUUCUGACGGUACCCAAAGAAUAAGCACCGGCUAACUUCGUG